This 253-nucleotide ribosomal RNA is filed under the name uncultured bacterium. RNAcentral describes it as "partial 16S ribosomal RNA". It matches the Rfam family "Bacterial small subunit ribosomal RNA", at positions 524 to 776 of the family's 1533-position model. The record is from RNAcentral.
UACGUAGGGGGCAAGCGUUGUCCGGAAUCAUUGGGCGUAAAGCGCGUGUAGGCGGCACGGUCAGUCUGGUGUGAAACCUUGGGGCUCAACCCCAAGCCUGCACUGGAUACUGCCGCGCUCGAGUCCGGGAGAGGGAAGCGGAAUUCCUAGUGUAGCGGUGAAAUGCGCAGAUAUUAGGAAGAACACCGAUGGCGAAGGCAGCUUCCUGGAACGGUACUGACGCUGAGACGCGAAAGCGUGGGGAGCGAACAGG